Molecule: non-coding RNA, 298 nt
Organism: Triticum urartu
Lineage: Eukaryota; Viridiplantae; Streptophyta; Magnoliopsida; Poales; Poaceae
Source: Rfam
UAACGUCAAGGAGUGACGUACUCAUGGAAUGAGUUGGACCCAUCAGGAUGAUGUCGCAGGGACAGGCUUCGGGAUUGAAGCAGGGAAACCUCAGGAUGAGGUAAUGGACACCUCCAGGAAGGAGAACGUGAACCGUACUGGAUGACGGCUAGCAGGGAAGUGAACGGAUAACAUCAGGAUGAUGUUUGCUCAGGAGAGCACAGGAACAGUUUUCAAGGAAGAGCAGGGAGCAUAAAGGUAGCUGGAAAGCUGCGAACGAACCGGGGGCACUGUUAAUACAGUGCCCCUUUUUUUUCGU